UCGGAUAUGGUGUAACGGCUAACAUUGCCGCCUCUCAUUCGGGGGCACGCGGCAGCUCGGGGUUCGAUUCCCCGUAUCCGAA
Molecule: transfer RNA, 82 nt
Filed under: Vararia minispora EC-137
Lineage: Eukaryota; Fungi; Basidiomycota; Agaricomycetes; Russulales; Lachnocladiaceae
Description: tRNA-Glu
Rfam family: tRNA
About the family: Transfer RNA (tRNA) molecules are approximately 80 nucleotides in length. Their secondary structure includes four short double-helical elements and three loops (D, anti-codon, and T loops). Further hydrogen bonds mediate the characteristic L-shaped molecular structure. tRNAs have two regions of fundamental functional importance: the anti-codon, which is responsible for specific mRNA codon recognition, and the 3' end, to which the tRNAs corresponding amino acid is attached (by aminoacyl-tRNA synthetases). tRNAs cope with the degeneracy of the genetic code in two manners: having more than one tRNA (with a specific anti-codon) for a particular amino acid; and 'wobble' base-pairing, i.e. permitting non-standard base-pairing at the 3rd anti-codon position.
Source: RNAcentral